Molecule: ribosomal RNA, 500 nt
Filed under: uncultured bacterium
Lineage: Bacteria
Description: bacterial SSU rRNA
Rfam family: Bacterial small subunit ribosomal RNA
Source: RNAcentral
AACGAACGCUGGCGGCAUGCCUAACACAUGCAAGUCGAACGAGACCUUCGGGUCUAGUGGCGCACGGGUGCGUAACGCGUGGGGAUCUGCCCUCAGGUACGGAAUAACUCAGGGAAACUUGAGCUAAUACCGUAUAAUGACUUUGGUCCGAAGAUUUAUCGCCUGGGGAUGAGCCCGCGUCGGAUUAGCUAGUUGGUGAGGUAAAGGCUCACCAAGGCGACGAUCCGUAGCUGGUCUGAGAGGAUGAUCAGCCACACUGGGACUGAGACACGGCCCAGACUCCUACGGGAGGCAGCAGUGGGGAGUAUUGGACAAUGGGCGCAAGCCUGAUCCAGCAAUGCCGCGUGAGUGAUGAAGGCCUUAGGGUUGUAAAGCUCUUUUACCCGGGAAGAUAAUGACUGUACCGGGAGAAUAAAGCCCCGGCUAACUCCGUGCCAGCAGCCGCGGUAAUACGGAGGGGGCUAGCGUUGUUCGGAAUUACUGGGCGUAAAGCGCACGUA